UACGUAGGGGGCAAGCGUUGUCCGGAAUCAUUGGGCGUAAAGCGCGCGUAGGCGGCCCGGUAAGUCCGCUGUAAAAGUCAAAGGCUCAACCUUUGAAUGCCGGUGGAUACUGUCGGGCUAGAGUCCGGAAGAGGCGAGUGGAACUCCUGGUGUAGCGGUGGAAUGCGCAGAUAUCAGGAGGAACACCGGUGGCGAAGGCGGGUCACUGGCUCGGUACUGACGUUGAGGUGCGAAAGCGUGGGGAGCAAACAGG
This 253-nucleotide ribosomal RNA is filed under the name uncultured bacterium. Its description in RNAcentral is "partial 16S ribosomal RNA". It matches the Rfam family "Bacterial small subunit ribosomal RNA", at positions 524 to 776 of the family's 1533-position model. The record is from RNAcentral.